GCGCCGUUAGUCCAGUCUGGUUAAGAUACUAGCCUGCCACGUUAGUGACCCGGGUUCAAGUCCCGGACGGCGCA
This 74-nucleotide transfer RNA is filed under the name Methanobrevibacter sp. RNAcentral describes it as "tRNA-Gly". It matches the Rfam family "tRNA". From Rfam's summary of the family: Transfer RNA (tRNA) molecules are approximately 80 nucleotides in length. Lineage: Archaea; Methanobacteriati; Methanobacteriota; Methanobacteria; Methanobacteriales; Methanobacteriaceae. The record is from RNAcentral. RNAcentral also lists the same sequence under 2 other names.